CCUACGGGAGGCAGCAGUGGGGAAUAUUGGGCAAUGGGCGCAAGCCUGACCCAGCAACGCCGCGUGAAGGAAGAAGGCUUUCGGGUUGUAAACUUCUUUUCUGAGGGACGAAGAAAGUGACGGUACCUCAGGAAUAAGCCACGGCUAACUACGUGCCAGCAGCCGCGGUAAUACGUAGGUGGCAAGCGUUAUCCGGAUUUAUUGGGUGUAAAGGGCGUGUAGGCGGGAAAGCAAGUCAGAUGUGAAAACUCAGGGCUCAACCCUGAGCCUGCAUUGGAAACUGUUUUUCUUGAGUGCUGGAGAGGCAAUCGGAAUUCCGUGUGGAGCGGUGAAAUGCGUAGAUAUAAGGAGGAACAACAGUGGCGAAGGCGAAUUGCUGGACAGUAACUGACGCUGAGGCGCGAAAGCGUGGGGAGCAAACAGGAUUAGAGACCCGUGUAGUC
RNAcentral lists this ribosomal RNA (443 nucleotides) under uncultured bacterium. Its description in RNAcentral is "partial 16S ribosomal RNA". It matches the Rfam family "Bacterial small subunit ribosomal RNA", at positions 338 to 795 of the family's 1533-position model. The record is from RNAcentral.